CAGCCGCCGCGGUAAUACCGGCGGCCCGAGUGGCGGUCACUAUUAUUGGGCUUAAAGCGUCCGUAGCCGGGUUGGGAAGUCCUCCGGGAAAUCUGGCCGCUUAACGGUCAGAAUGCCGGAGGAUACUCCCAGCCUAGGGAGCGGGGGAGGCCGAGGGGAUUCCCGGAGGAGGGGGGGAAUCCUAUAAUCCCGGGAGGACCACCUGUGGCGCAGGCGCUCGGCUGGAACGCGUCCGACGGUGAGGGACGAAGGCCAGGGGAGCAAACCGGAUUAGAUACCCGGGUAGUCCUGGCUGUAAACGAUGCGGACUUUGUGUCGGACAAGCUAUGAGCUUGUCCGGUGCCGGAGGGAAACCGUUAAGUCCGCCGCCUGGGGAGUACGGCCGCAAGGCUGAAACUUAAAGGAAUUGGCGGG
RNAcentral lists this ribosomal RNA (414 nucleotides) under uncultured microorganism. RNAcentral's name for it is "bacterial SSU rRNA". It matches the Rfam family "Archaeal small subunit ribosomal RNA", at positions 459 to 872 of the family's 1478-position model. The record is from RNAcentral.